This is a long non-coding RNA of Oncorhynchus gorbuscha (pink salmon), 492 nucleotides long. RefSeq lists it as uncharacterized. The record is from RefSeq and is a predicted model, not a curated record. NCBI's taxonomy places the organism in Eukaryota, Metazoa, Chordata, Actinopteri, Salmoniformes, Salmonidae. The transcript has 3 exons.
AGAAAUGGACAACAUGGGAAGUAAAUGAAAGUUUCAAUAGAGCAGUGUCCCCCUGCCAGCUUUGACAGAUGUGUCCUCCAGACAUCAGGAUUGUCUCGCACACUUAUUUGCAAGAAUUUAUUCCCUGGGCUACCAGACUUUCCUGUGGAAUAAGUGGAGAUUCAAGAGGAAAGUAGCCGAGGAAUGCCCGUGAUGAUAGAAGAGGCAUAGGCCUGGUAAAAAUAUCAUGAUAUUUCCCUAUAGCGGAAGUCUUGUCAACAGUAAUUAAUUGAUUGUCAAACUCAAUAUAUACCACCAGCAGACAUACAAAUGAUGGGAUCAAAUUACACUGUAUCUCCAUUGCAGAUGAACACACAAUCAACACUCCAGAAAAUGUCAAAAGCCCAUUUUCUGUUCUAUCCAUAAUCCAAGUAGAAAACUUUUAUCGUGCAAAAGUCUGGCGGACACAAUGGUCUAAACGUGGAGAGCAGGAGGGAGGAUACAAUGGUCUAA